RNAcentral lists this ribosomal RNA (440 nucleotides) under uncultured bacterium. RNAcentral's name for it is "partial 16S ribosomal RNA". It matches the Rfam family "Bacterial small subunit ribosomal RNA", at positions 338 to 795 of the family's 1533-position model. The record is from RNAcentral.
CCUACGGGAGGCAGCAGUAGGGAAUAUUGCUCAAUGGGGGAAACCCUGAAGCAGCAACGCCGCGUGGGGGAUGAAGGUUUUAGGAUUGUAAACUCCUUUUGUUAGAGAAGAUAAUGACGGUAUCUAACGAAUAAGCACCGGCUAACUCCGUGCCAGCAGCCGCGGUAAUACGGCGGGUGCAAGCGGUACUCGGAAUCACUGGGCGUAAAGAGCGCGUAGGCGGGAUAGCAAGUCAGAUGUGAAAUCGUAUGGCUUAACCAUAGAACUGCAUUUGAAACUGUUAUUCUAGAGUUUGGGAGAGGUAGGUGGAAUGCGUGGUGUAGGGGUAAAAUCCGUAGAGAUCAAGAGGAAUACUCAUUGCGAAGGCGACCUGCUAGAACAUAACUGACGCUGAUGCGCGAAAGCGUGGGGAGCAAACAGGAUUAGAUACCCGAGUAGUC